UACGUAGGGUGCAAGCGUUGUCCGGAAUUAUUGGGCGUAAAGAGCUCGUAGGCGGUUUGUCGCGUCUGCUGUGAAAACUCGGGGCUCAACUCCGAGCUUGCAGUGGGUACGGGCAGACUAGAGUGCGGUAGGGGAGACUGGAAUUCCUGGUGUAGCGGUGGAAUGCGCAGAUAUCCGGAGGAACACCGGUGGCGAAGGCGGCUUCCUGGACCGACACUGACGCUGAGGCGCGAAAGCUAGGGGAGCAAACGGG
RNAcentral lists this ribosomal RNA (253 nucleotides) under uncultured bacterium. RNAcentral describes it as "partial 16S ribosomal RNA". It matches the Rfam family "Bacterial small subunit ribosomal RNA", at positions 524 to 776 of the family's 1533-position model. The record is from RNAcentral.